UUCCUCCUACGGGACGCAGCAGUGGGGAAUAUUGUACAAUGGGGGGAACCCUGAUGCAGCAAUGCCGCGUGGGUGAAGAAGCACUCCGGUGCGUAAAGCCCUGUCAGCAGGGAAGAAAAUGACAGUACCUGGACAAGAAGCCCCGGCUAACUACGUGCCAGCAGCCGCGGUAAUACGUAGGGGGCAAGCGUUAUCCGGAUUUACUGGGUGUAAAGGGGGCGCAGACGGCGAUGCAAGCCAGGAGUGAAAGCCCGGGGCCCAACCCCGGGACUGCUCUUGGGACUGCGUGGCUAGAGUGCAGGAGG
Molecule: ribosomal RNA, 305 nt
Filed under: uncultured bacterium
Lineage: Bacteria
Description: bacterial SSU rRNA
Rfam family: Bacterial small subunit ribosomal RNA
Source: RNAcentral